GAUGAAGAACGUAGCGAAAUGCGAUAAGUAAUGUGAAUUGCAGAAUUCAGUGAAUCAUCGAAUCUUUGAACGCACAUUGCGCCCGCCAGUAUUCUGGCGGGCAUGCCUGUUCGAGCGUCAUUUCAACCAUCAAGCCCUGCUUGCGUUGGGGUCCUGCGGCUGCCCGCAGGCCCUGAAAACCAGUGGCGGGCUCGCUAGUCACACCGAGCGCAGUAAUACAUCUCGCUUUGGGCGUGCGGCGGGUUCUUGCCGUUAAACACCCCCUUUUUACCAAGGUUGACCUCGGAUCAGGUAGGAAUACCCGCUGAACUUAAGCGUAUCAAUAAGCGGAGGA
Molecule: unclassified non-coding RNA, 334 nt
Filed under: soil metagenome
Description: partial contains 5.8S ribosomal RNA, internal transcribed spacer 2, and large subunit ribosomal RNA
Rfam family: 5.8S ribosomal RNA (bases 1-120)
Source: RNAcentral